This 568-nucleotide ribosomal RNA is filed under the name uncultured archaeon. RNAcentral describes it as "bacterial SSU rRNA". It matches the Rfam family "Archaeal small subunit ribosomal RNA", at positions 311 to 879 of the family's 1478-position model. The record is from RNAcentral.
CGCGAAUUCGCCCUUCGGGGUGCAGCAGGCGCGAAAACUUUACAAUGCCGGCAACGGCGAUAAGGGAACCUCGAGUGCCAGGUUACAAAUCUGGCUGUCGUGAUGCCUAAAAAGCAUUGCAUAGCAAGGGCCGGGCAAGACCGGUGCCAGCCGCCGCGGUAACACCGGCGGCUCGAGUGGUAACCGUUAUUAUUGGGUCUAAAGGGUCUGUAGCCGGCCGGGUAAGUCUCUUGGUAAAUCUGGCAGCUUAACUGUCAGGCUUUCAGGAGAUACUGCCUGGCUCGAGGCCGGGAGAGGUGAGAGGUACUUCAGGGGUAGGGGUGAAAUCUUGUAAUCCUUGAAGGACCACCAGUGGCGAAGGCGUCUCACCAGAACGGACCUGACGGCAAGGGACGAAAGCUAGGGGCACGAACCGGAUUAGAUACCCGGGUAGUCCUAGCCGUAAACGAUACUCGCUAGGUGUCGGCCACGGUGCGACCGUGGUCGGUGCCGUAGGGAAGCCGUGAAGCGAGCCACCUGGGAAGUACGGCCGCAAGGCUGAAACUUAAAGGAAUUGGCGGGGGAGCAC